Molecule: ribosomal RNA, 495 nt
Filed under: uncultured bacterium
Lineage: Bacteria
Description: partial 16S ribosomal RNA
Rfam family: Bacterial small subunit ribosomal RNA
Source: RNAcentral
GACGAACGCUGGCGGCGUGCCUAAUACAUGCAAGUAGAACGCUGAAGGAGGAGCUUGCUCCUCUGGAUGAGUUGCGAACGGGUGAGUAACGCGUAGGUAACCUGCCUGGUAGCGGGGGAUAACUAUUGGAAACGAUAGCUAAUACCGCAUAAGAGUAGAUGUCGCAUGACAUUUGCUUAAAAGGUGCAAUUGCAUCACUACCAGAUGGACCUGCGUUGUAUUAGCUAGUUGGUGAGGUAACGGCUCACCAAGGCAACGAUACAUAGCCGACCUGAGAGGGUGAUCGGCCACACUGGGACUGAGACACGGCCCAGACUCCUACGGGAGGCAGCAGUAGGGAAUCUUCGGCAAUGGACGGAAGUCUGACCGAGCAACGCCGCGUGAGUGAAGAAGGUUUUCGGAUCGUAAAGCUCUGUUGUAAGAGAAGAACGAGUGUGAGAGUGGAAAGUUCACACUGUGACGGUAUCUUACCAGAAAGGGACGGCUAACUACGUG